Molecule: unclassified non-coding RNA, 2123 nt
Filed under: Hevea brasiliensis (rubber tree)
Lineage: Eukaryota; Viridiplantae; Streptophyta; Magnoliopsida; Malpighiales; Euphorbiaceae
Source: RNAcentral
ACUGUGCCACGGAGGACACCGCGAGCACCGCCAUUAGCAUCAAGAACACUAAGCUUGAAGAAGCCAUAGCAAUUUCUUUUCUUGUUCAAUGAGGUCGGAACACACAGAAUGAGAGAGGUGCAAGUGUGGUAAUAAAUUACGGUGAGAGGGGGUGUAUAUAUAUAUAGCAUUUCGGUGUGAGUUGUUUUGGUCAAAUCAAGAGCCGUUAGAUUUUCUGUAUCUUUAAGGCACGAAUUUUGAGGGGCAUAAACGGUUCAGAUUGUGGUGAUGGACAAGACCAGCUGGAGGGAUUGAUUUUGGGUGUGCGAAAUCAUGAUUGUGGGGACCAGGUAAGGCAAAAAGACACACGGUGUUUUUGGACUGGUGGGGUCGGUGACUGUUGUCAAUUAAUUAUGGCCGUACACGUGUUGUGGAAUUUGAAAAGUGGAAGGAAGGACAGUUUGCCCUUUGCAUAACGGUCUAAAAAAUGGAAAAGCGGAGUGUUCUGGUUUCGGAGAAUGCGGUGCGAAAGUCCGCAGUGAUUCAGGGAAUUUAAUUUAUGGGAAAAACCUGGAUAACACGUUGAAUUAUUUUUAGAAAUUGAUCUGACAAUUUCUUCUUCCAGUGAUCAACAACACUGGAUUUGCAUCAAUGGGAUCUCUCAUGUCUAGUUUACACCUUUUAAGAAGAAAAUGAAUGAAUGGCUUUUCAGUGCAGUGCAGUACAUAAUUCUUUCAGCAGAACUUCAUUUUGCCAAGCAAGUGUAAUCAUAGUUAAGAGUUUCUCACUAGAGAAUGAUAAAAGAAUUUGAAUUGAUAAAUUAUGCCAUUCUUUUUGUGUGACUCAUGGGUGUCGAAGCCGGAGCACCUUGCUCAUCGGUUAGAAGUAGCAUCUGCUGCAGUGUUGAUGCUAGGUUUACCAUUUUCACUGGUGAGAUUGCUUAAUUGGCCAUUGAAUUCUACUCCAUAGAUAUGACCCAUUUUAGCACGUUUGGUCUCCAGAUACCUCUUGUUUUCCUUUGUGAUGGUAGUUAACAAAGGAAUCCUACCUGCAACUGUCAAACCAUAGCCCUUGAGCCCAAUGUACUUUGCAGGGUUGUUUGUCAUCAACUUCAUUGUUCGGACACCCAGAUCCUGUAAUAUCUGGGCACCAAUGCCAUAUUCUCGUGAAUCAACAGGCAGUCCUAGUUCUUCAUUUGCUUCAACUGUAUCACGCCCAGCAUCCUGUAGGUUGUAAGCACGGAGCUUGUGGCCCAAACCAAUUCCUCUACCUUCAUGUCCGCGGAGGUAUACCAAUACACCCCUGCCAGCAGCCUCAAUUUGCUUCAUUGCAAGGGCUAGCUGAUUUCCACAAUCACAUCUCGCUGAUCCAAAUAUGUCACCAGUGAGGCACUCAGAAUGCACCCUCACAAGAAUAUCCUUACCAUCACCAAUUUCACCUUUAACCAUUGCUAUAUGCUCUAUCCCAUCCAGAAAUGACCUAUAACAGUAGGCUUUGAAUGGUCCCCACAUUGUGGGUAUUGGAGCAGUGGCAGACAACUCCACCAGUCUAUCUCUUUUCCUCCUAUAUCUGUCAAUUAUACAAACAUUACCGAGUCAAAUAUCACUUUCAUUCAAAAUAACAGGAAUAUAACUAUUAAAAUAGCAAUUACCCUCAUAUCAAUUCCAAUAAGUAACUCUGUUAAGUAAGUCUAAAUAGGUGUCUUUAUCAAAGGAGUAACUAAAAAUAUGUUACAUAACAGCCUGCACACUUAGUGAAAUAGAGGAAUAGGGAGAGAAAGAGAGAGAAAUAGGUGAGAAAACAGAUAGAUUGGAUGAGAAAAGAAAUAGAUUGGAUGAGAAGAGAAAAGAAUAUUCAAAGAUGAGAGAAAAGUAUUCUUGUUUAUUGAUUCUUGGAAUAGCCUAUUCUAAUACAGAUAUACUCUAUUUAUACACUCCUAACUACUGUAACUGUUUUGACUUCUCCUAAAAAGCUGUAACAUCUUUACAACCACUCAACUACCAUAUACCACCCUCACUAUUCUACUACUUUCACAUACAAUUAAAAACUUUAUUCUCCUUACUAGUAUUCAUUACAUUCCCUACUCCUUGAAAUCAUUCUUGGCCUCAAGAAUGAAUAACGGAGGGUGCAACACUGAAAUUAUU